Molecule: transfer RNA, 72 nt
Filed under: Bos taurus (domestic cattle)
Lineage: Eukaryota; Metazoa; Chordata; Mammalia; Artiodactyla; Bovidae
Also listed under: 4 other names
Rfam family: tRNA
About the family: Transfer RNA (tRNA) molecules are approximately 80 nucleotides in length. Their secondary structure includes four short double-helical elements and three loops (D, anti-codon, and T loops).
Source: Rfam by way of RNAcentral
UCCCUGGUGGCUCAGAGGUUAAAGCGUCUGCCUACAAUGCGGGAGACCCGGGUUCGAUCCCUGGGUCGGGAA